GCUCAUUCACUAGCUGUAUUAGCUAUGAAGCUAGCUAAUAAGGAGGCUCUGUAGCUGUGUAGCUGGCUACUAACUUCAUGCUGAAGUAAGAGAAAAGGAUGGAGACAAAAACACAAGAGUCUGAAAGUAGUUCCUAAAUGCAGCUAUACGAAGAUGACGAGUUUUUCACAACAUCCUUUUUUAAUUCAGCUGUUACAUUCGGCAGAUGAAGGAGACAAUCUGUACCAUGUGUCAUUAGUGUGACAGUUUUCCUCCACAUUAUUCCUGUCGUCAGCAUGAGAGCGGAGGACAUGGAGCGGAGGACAGAGGGAUGCGCGGGUUCACAGGGCCCUGCUGGAGAGCUUUACAUGCCGAAACCGACAUUUCCUUACUACUCACUCACACCUGAGCCUUUCUGCUGUUUUUCACUUAAGGGAAUAAGAGGAAUUGAUGUAGUGACAGACAGUUCUGAUUAAAGAUCAGCAAUAACACUAAUAAUCAUAAAAACAAUAACAAAAUAGUUAA
Long non-coding RNA from Anguilla rostrata (American eel), 504 nucleotides. RefSeq lists it as uncharacterized. The transcript is spliced from 4 exons. The record is from RefSeq and is a predicted model, not a curated record. Lineage: Eukaryota; Metazoa; Chordata; Actinopteri; Anguilliformes; Anguillidae.